Molecule: ribosomal RNA, 1564 nt
Filed under: Escherichia coli
Lineage: Bacteria; Pseudomonadati; Pseudomonadota; Gammaproteobacteria; Enterobacterales; Enterobacteriaceae
Description: bacterial LSU rRNA
Rfam family: Bacterial large subunit ribosomal RNA
Source: RNAcentral
AUGCUGGAGGUAUCAGAAGUGCGAAUGCUGACAUAAGUAACGAUAAAGCGGGUGAAAAGCCCGCUCGCCGGAAGACCAAGGGUUCCUGUCCAACGUUAAUCGGGGCAGGGUGAGUCGACCCCUAAGGCGAGGCCGAAAGGCGUAGUCGAUGGGAAACAGGUUAAUAUUCCUGUACUUGGUGUUACUGCGAAGGGGGGACGGAGAAGGCUAUGUUGGCCGGGCGACGGUUGUCCCGGUUUAAGCGUGUAGGCUGGUUUUCCAGGCAAAUCCGGAAAAUCAAGGCUGAGGCGUGAUGACGAGGCACUACGGUGCUGAAGCAACAAAUGCCCUGCUUCCAGGAAAAGCCUCUAAGCAUCAGGUAACAUCAAAUCGUACCCCAAACCGACACAGGUGGUCAGGUAGAGAAUACCAAGGCGCUUGAGAGAACUCGGGUGAAGGAACUAGGCAAAAUGGUGCCGUAACUUCGGGAGAAGGCACGCUGAUAUGUAGGUGAAGUCCCUCGCGGAUGGAGCUGAAAUCAGUCGAAGAUACCAGCUGGCUGCAACUGUUUAUUAAAAACACAGCACUGUGCAAACACGAAAGUGGACGUAUACGGUGUGACGCCUGCCCGGUGCCGGAAGGUUAAUUGAUGGGGUCAGCGCAAGCGAAGCUCUUGAUCGAAGCCCCGGUAAACGGCGGCCGUAACUAUAACGGUCCUAAGGUAGCGAAAUUCCUUGUCGGGUAAGUUCCGACCUGCACGAAUGGCGUAAUGAUGGCCAGGCUGUCUCCACCCGAGACUCAGUGAAAUUGAACUCGCUGUGAAGAUGCAGUGUACCCGCGGCAAGACGGAAAGACCCCGUGAACCUUUACUAUAGCUUGACACUGAACAUUGAGCCUUGAUGUGUAGGAUAGGUGGGAGGCUUUGAAGUGUGGACGCCAGUCUGCAUGGAGCCGACCUUGAAAUACCACCCUUUAAUGUUUGAUGUUCUAACGUUGACCCGUGAUCCGGGUUGCGGACAGUGUCUGGUGGGUAGUUUGACUGGGGCGGUCUCCUCCUAAAGAGUAACGGAGGAGCACGAAGGUUGGCUAAUCCUGGUCGGACAUCAGGAGGUUAGUGCAAUGGCAUAAGCCAGCUUGACUGCGAGCGUGACGGCGCGAGCAGGUGCGAAAGCAGGUCAUAGUGAUCCGGUGGUUCUGAAUGGAAGGGCCAUCGCUCAACGGAUAAAAGGUACUCCGGGGAUAACAGGCUGAUACCGCCCAAGAGUUCAUAUCGACGGCGGUGUUUGGCACCUCGAUGUCGGCUCAUCACAUCCUGGGGCUGAAGUAGGUCCCAAGGGUAUGGCUGUUCGCCAUUUAAAGUGGUACGCGAGCUGGGUUUAGAACGUCGUGAGACAGUUCGGUCCCUAUCUGCCGUGGGCGCUGGAGAACUGAGGGGGGCUGCUCCUAGUACGAGAGGACCGGAGUGGACGCAUCACUGGUGUUCGGGUUGUCAUGCCAAUGGCACUGCCCGGUAGCUAAAUGCGGAAGAGAUAAGUGCUGAAAGCAUCUAAGCACGAAACUUGCCCCGAGAUGAGUUCUCCCUGAC